RNAcentral lists this small nuclear RNA (21 nucleotides) under Arabidopsis thaliana (thale cress). RNAcentral's name for it is "snRNA_13464". The record is from RNAcentral. Lineage: Eukaryota; Viridiplantae; Streptophyta; Magnoliopsida; Brassicales; Brassicaceae.
GUCAUUACAUCUGCAAAAUCU